This 487-nucleotide ribosomal RNA is filed under the name uncultured bacterium. RNAcentral's name for it is "bacterial SSU rRNA". It matches the Rfam family "Bacterial small subunit ribosomal RNA", at positions 28 to 507 of the family's 1533-position model. The record is from RNAcentral.
GAUGAACGCUAGCGGCAGGCCUAACACAUACAAGUCGAGGGGUAACAUAGAAAAGCUUGCUUUUCUGAUGACGACCGGCGCACGGGUGCGUAACGCGUAUACAACCUACCUUUUAGCGGGGAAUAGCCCAGGGAAACUUGGAUUAAUGCCCCAUAGUAUAUAGACUUCUCCUGAAGUUUAUAUUAAACAUUUAUGGCUAUUAGAUGGGUAUGCGUCCUAUUAGUUAGUUGGUAAGGUAACGGCUUACCAAGGCAGCGAUAGGUAGGGGUCCUGAGAGGGAGAUCCCCACACUGGUACUGAGACACGGACCAGACUCCUACGGGAGGCAGCAGUGAGGAAUAUUGGACAAUGGGCGAGAGCCUGAUCCAGCCAUGCCGCGUGCAGGAAGACUGCCCUAUGGGUUGUAAACUGCUUUUACAGAGGAAGAACCACCCCCACGUGUGGGGGUUUGACGGUACUCUGCGAAUAAGGAUCGGCUAACUCCGUG